GAUGAACGCUGGCGGCGUGCUUAACACAUGCAAGUCGAACGGAAAGGCUCCUGCUUGUCGGGGUACUCGAGUGGCGAACGGGUGAGUAACACGUGGGUGAUCUGCCCUGCACUUCGGGAUAAGCCUGGGAAACUGGGUCUAAUACCGGAUAGGACGAUGGUUUGGAUGCUAUUGUGGAAAGUUUUUUCGGCGUGGGAUAGGCUCGCGGCCUAUCAGCUUGUUGGUGGGGUAAUGGCCUACCAAGGGGUCGACGGGUAGCCGGCCUGGGAGGGAGGACAGCCACAUUGGGACUGCGGAAGGGACCAGGCUGCUACGGGGGGCAGCAGUGGGGAAAAUUGCAGAAUGGGCCAAAGCCUGAUGGAGAGGCGCCGCGUGGGGGAUGACGGCCUUCGGGUUGUAAACACCUUUCGCUAGGGACGAAGCGCAAGUGACGGUACCUGGAGAAGAAGCACCGGCUAACGACGUG
Molecule: ribosomal RNA, 466 nt
Filed under: uncultured bacterium
Lineage: Bacteria
Description: partial 16S ribosomal RNA
Rfam family: Bacterial small subunit ribosomal RNA
Source: RNAcentral